Molecule: ribosomal RNA, 253 nt
Filed under: uncultured bacterium
Lineage: Bacteria
Description: partial 16S ribosomal RNA
Rfam family: Bacterial small subunit ribosomal RNA
Source: RNAcentral
UACGUAGGCAGCAAGCGUUGUUCGGAAUUACUGGGCGUAAAGAGUGUGUAGGCGGUGUUCUAAGUUCGGUGUGAAAUCUCCUGGCUCAACUGGGAGGGUGCGCCGAAAACUGGGAUGCUCGAGCGUGGGAGAGGAAAGCGGAAUUCCUGGUGUAGCGGUGAAAUGCGUAGAUAUCAGGAGGAACACCAGCGGUGUAGACGGCUUUCUGGACAGUAACUGACGCUGAGACACGAAAGCGUGGGUAGCAAACAGG